GAGAGGAGUGGACCCCACGCAGGGAUUGGGCUGUUGGGGCCUCUGUGCCUCCCGGAACCCCACGCAUUUGGUGGUGACGUGAGGCCCAAUUGGACUUCCUGCAUGCAGAACUGAUUAGAGUUACGAGAAAGACUUUUUAAAAAAAGACCCUGAGAUGUCAGCUUUGGCAGCUGUACCUACCGGUGGAAGAACAGGCUCCUUCCCUCAAGCAUGACUGAAAACCGUUUAAAAAGAAGUGCUCUGAUUCAAUGGUUCCCAGUUACACCGAGUUAUGGAGACAUCGUCCCUGGAGCGGGGCCCGCAAGAGUCUUUCCCUCCCAUGGGGCAACGCAGUGGCUGCGGAUCCCAGCCAGCCCCGAGGGACACAAGUGUGGCCGUGGUCAGCUGCGGCUUUGCUAGAGGCCCUCCCUGCUCUCAUGAGACCCCGAGGGUGUUGGCUUUCUGCCCCCAAGACUGACAAAUGGCCAGGUGGGCCUGCAGGUGACCUCCUUCCCUCAUGGGCAGCAGGAACCAGGUGGGCCCCCACAGUGCCUGGGGCAGCUUAUGCAGCAGUUACAGAGAUCUGGAUCUGGGGUUUCUUCGGCGCGAGAUGAGAGGCCUCUGGUCCCAUCCUAGGAACCACGGCCCAGACUGUCCCUGCCUCAGAAGAGUGACAUGGACACCCACACACAGUCCCCCCAAACAGAGACACACACGCCGACAAACCUGUGCACGCUCAUGCCCACUCACACGCCACACCCCCUCCCCUGCUGGGCACCAGAUAAUGGAGCUGCGGAGCUGUGUGGCUGCAAGCCGCCCUUUCCGAGCUUCUGCUAGGUGGUGUGUUCAAACCUGCAGGCUUCGAAGAGUUCUGAGCAUCUAGAAGAGCAGAGUCCAGUAAAAAUGUAGCAAAGCCACGCAUGUAAGUUUACCUGUGCUGGCAGCCAUACUGACAAAAGGGAAAAUAAACAAAUGAGAUUAAUUUUAAUACUUUUUUAUUUAUUUAUUUAUUUUUUGAUACGGAGUUUCGCUCUUGUUGCCCCAGCUGCAGUGUAAUGGCACAAUCUCGGUUCACUGCAAACUUUAGCUCCCAGGUUCAAGCUAUUCUCCUGCCUCAGCCUCCCAAGUAGCUGGGAUUACAGGUAUGCGCCACCACGCCCAGCUAAUUUUGUAUUUUUAGUAGAGACAGGGUUUCUCCAUGCUGGUCAGGCUGGUCUCGAAUUCCCAACCUCAGGUGAUCCGCCCGCCUCGGCCUCCCAAAGUGCUGGGAUUACAGGCAUGAGCCACGGCACCCAGCCAAUACUAUUUUUAUUUAAAUCCAAUAGAGCCAUAAUAUUAUCACUUGGAUAAUCAAUACAAAGAAUUAUUAUUUUGAGGGAUGGAGUCUCGCUCUGUCACCCACGCUGGGGCACAGUGGCGCAAUCUCGGCUCACUGCAACCUCUGCCUCCCGGGUUCAAGUGAUUCUCCUGCCUCAGCCUCCCGAGUAGCUGGGAUUGCAGGCGUGUGCCACCCCAUGCCCAGCUAAUUUUUGUAUUUUUAGUAGAGAUGGGGUUUCGCCAUGUUGGCCAGGCUGGUUUCGAACUCCUGACCUCAGGUGAUCCACCUGCCUUGGCCUCCCAGAGUGCUGGAAUCACAGGCAUGACCCACCAUGCCUGGCCUAAAGAAUUAUUAAAGAGUGAUUUUACUCUCCCUUUUUUCUACUAAGUCUUUAAAAUCUAGUGUUUGUUUUACACUUAUAGACCAUCUCAAUCAGACACUAAAUUUUUAUCAGAAAUCCUUGAUUGUAUUUAGAUUUAAUAAAAUGUAGAGUAAAAAAGUAUAUUGUCACCCAAAUUGUUUCAAACAAACUUGAAAGUUUUUAAUAAUGGAAAUGGGUAUUGGUUUUAAAUUUUUAAGACAAUACAAUAAAACCCUCUGUGCCAAAUCCCCCACAGAGUCAUGGCAUUGGGGUUUCGAAGGCCUCAUUGCUGGCCCCCACCUGCAGGCAUCCCUUCUGGGUUGACAGCCACGAGAUGAGUGUUAUCAGUGUCUGUGGGAGAAGCAGGGGCUCUGAGGUUGGGCGAGCGAAGGAUCAGGUGGGCACUGCACACCGAGGGCACAAGAGCCUGGGAAGCCCCACCAUGAGGGGCGGACUUGACUGAGCCCAGGCGUCCAGGCCCUUGUGGGCACAGAGUCUCCUCCCCAGGAGGCUGUUAGCACUCGGGGGGCGGGGGGCUCUGCUCGCCCUAGACCCCUCUUCUGGACAGAUGGCAGCACCAUGCCCCUCCCAAGCCCCAUACCCCUGUGCAAGCCCUGCCUGCUGCCCGGAGGACCCAUGCAAAAGCCGUCACCGCCCACGUCCAGGCCUGGGGGUGGGGGGAAGAGCACUCAAGUGCAAGAGGCAGACCCUGUGCCCCCACCCCUCCGGUGCCUCCCUCACCCCUCCUGUGCCUCCCCUACCCUCCCGUGCCUC
This 2432-nucleotide long non-coding RNA is filed under the name Homo sapiens (human). RNAcentral's name for it is "HSALNT0402374". Lineage: Eukaryota; Metazoa; Chordata; Mammalia; Primates; Hominidae. The record is from RNAcentral.